GGUCAUCUCAGCUUCCAGCUGCUACUGAAAAUGAUGUGAACAAAGGAAGUGGAUAGCAGAAUAAAAAUGUGGAUUUGCCAGCUAACUUAGCGAGCUUGAAAGAAACCCCUGCUGAAGAUGGUGCUGCUGACAAGGGCAUCAAGGAGGGGCCCCAAGUGAUGAACAGAUUAAGGAAUGUAAAGUGAAACGGAAGUGGAGCUGCUUCUCUCAUGCUUCGUGAUGGUUCGCUUGGUCGUGUAGCUUAGUGUAAUGGAACACUGUUUAACCUACUGAGUCCCAAGUGUCCAAUCACCUCUGGAAUUACCGUUACUAUUGUUUAACCAAUAGCAAUUAAUCAGCUGGUAUCGCCGUAUCAGUAGCAUUUGCGUCCCUGAAUGUGUUUCAUUUCAUCUUUUGCGUUUGAGCUGGUUCUUGAUGGCACUUUGCAAUGUCGAUAAUUGAUAGGCCAUGGCUUAUUUGCUCA
Molecule: long non-coding RNA, 463 nt
Organism: Panicum virgatum (switchgrass)
Lineage: Eukaryota; Viridiplantae; Streptophyta; Magnoliopsida; Poales; Poaceae
Exons: 2
Source: RefSeq, a predicted model, not a curated record